RNAcentral lists this unclassified non-coding RNA (345 nucleotides) under soil metagenome. RNAcentral's name for it is "partial contains 5.8S ribosomal RNA, internal transcribed spacer 2, and large subunit ribosomal RNA". The stretch from base 1 to 120 matches the Rfam family "5.8S ribosomal RNA", at positions 35 to 154 of the family's 154-position model. The record is from RNAcentral.
GAUGAAGAACGUAGCGAAAUGCGAUAAGUAAUGUGAAUUGCAGAAUUCAGAGAAUCAUCGAAUCUUUGAACGCACAUUGCGCCCGCCAGUAUUCUGGCGGGCAUGCCUGUCCGAGCGUCAUUUCAACCCUCAAGCCCCCGGGCUUGGUGUUGGAGAUCGGCGAGCCCCCCGGGGCGCGCCGUCUCCCAAAUAUAGUGGCGGUCCCGCUGUAGCUUCCUCUGCGUAGUAGCACACCUCGCACUGGGAAACAGCGUGGCCACGCCGUAAAACCCCCCCCUUCUGAAAGGUUGACCUCGGAUCAGGUAGGAAUACCCGCUGAACUUAAGCAUAUCAAUAAGCGGAGGA